CCACCUGUAAUAUCCCUCGCUUUUAAAAAUUAUUAAUAAAGAUUUAUAUGUAAAUUGGAGGACCUAUAUGUAAAUAUAGAAAUUACAAGGACUAAACUGCUAAGUUGCAAAAAAAAAAAAGAAAAAAAAAGGGAAAACCGAAAAUUCGGUAUUAUCCCACCGCCUCCCACGCACUCUCUGUUUCUUCGAGAAACAGAGAGGAGCGGUGGGGCAUGAGGAGUGAAGAAAAGAAGAAGAAGAGGGAAAAGAAGAGAGGAGGAAGAAGAGAGGAAGAAGAGGGAGAAGAGAAGAAGAAGAAGAAGAGGAGGUGGCUGCAGCGAGGGCUGCAGCGAGGAGCUGUGGGGCGUGGGGAGAAGAAGAGAGGAAGAAGAGGGAGAAGAGAAGAAGAAGAAGAAGAAGAAGAAGAAGAAGAAGAGAGGAGGAUAGCUGCGGCAAGGCUGCAGCGAGGAGGUGUGUAGCUUUGGGGAGGAAAAGGGUAGAGGAGAAGAAGAGAAGGAGAAGAAGAGGGAAAAGAGAGGCAGCUGCAGCAGCCAGGGCUGCAGCACCUCUGUUUCCCGCAGGUGGAAACAGAGGAGAGGAUGUGUGGGGCGUUGAGGAUGAAAAGGGAAGAAGAAGAAGAAGAAGAAGAAGAAGAAGAAGAAGAAGAAGAUAGCUGCAGCAAGGCUGCAGCGAGGAGAUGUGUGGCCUUGGGGAGGAAAAGGGAAGAGGGGAAGAGGAGAAGAAGAAGAAGAGGAAGAGAAAGAGGUGUGAUACCUCUGUUUCCUGCAGAGGAAACAGAGGAGAGGGUGUGUGUGACGCCGGGGAAGAAGGGGCUGCAGCUGCGGCGAUGGCAGCUGCAGCUGGAAGAGAAGAAGAAGAGGAAGAUGAGCAGGGGAGGAGGGAGAGGUUGCGGCCGUGGCUGCGGCCGCGACUGCAGCAGUUGCAGCGGGGAGAGAAGAAGAAGAAAGGAAGGAGAAGGAAGAGGAGAAGGGAAAGAAGUAGCUGCGGCUGCGGUUGUGGCAGCUGCAGCUAUGGCAGGGAAAGAGGAAGAGAAAAAGGAAAGGAAGAAGAGAGAAAGGGAAGGAGAGGAAGAAGAGAGGAAGAGGAGAAGGGGCUGCGGCUGCGGCGAUGGCAGCUGCAGCUGUGGCAGGGAAAGAGAAAAAGGAAAGGAAGAAGAAGAGAAAGGGAAGGAGAGGAAGAAGAGAGGAAGAGGAGAAGGGGCUGCGGCUGCGGUGAUGGCAGCUGCAGCUGUGGCUGGGAAAGAAGAGAAGGAAAGGAAGAAGAAGAGAAAGGGAAGGAGAGGAAGAAGAGAGGAAGAGGAGAAGGGGUGGCAGCUGCGGCAGUGGCAGCUGCAGUUGGAAGAGAAGUAGGAGAGGAAAUAGAGCAGGGGAGGAAGAAGAGGCUGCGAGUGUGGUGGCUGCGGCCGUGGCUGCGACUCCGGCUGCGGCUGCAAUGUUGGCUGCGGUAGCUGCGGCAGCGGUGGUGGCUGCAGUAGCUGCUUUUGGGAAAGAGAAAGAGUAGGAACGAGAGAAGGGAAGAAGGAAAUAGUGCAAUGGAAGGGGGCUGCGGUUGUGACCGCAGUUGCGGUCGUGGCUGCGAUUGUGGCAGCGGCAGCGGCGGCGGUUGUGGCAGCUGCGUUUGGGAAAGAAAAAGAAGGAAUGAGAGUAAGAGAGAGCAGGUGACUGUGCCUCGAUGUUCGACACGUGAUGUAGUUGCGAAGAAAGGAAGAAAACGGGAGCACAAAACGAAACAGAGAGAGGACACGGAGAAAAAGUAGAAGGAUUUGAGCUGGCACCUUCUUUGGAUCUUCGGAUCGAAAUCAUUGAAAGGUCAGCUUGUCACUCUUCGAGAUGUUUGAUUUGGGCUGAGGCAGUGGAUAGCUAUUCAGAAUAAUGGGCAAGUCUGGUUGGUUAUUACGAUAUUGUUGUAUAAGUAUGUCUUGUAUGUAAUGAAAUGUUGUCGAUGAACCGAAAUGGAUAUACUGUGUCAAAGUGUUAGGAGAUCUCUCUUAUUUGGAAUUUCAGAAUGUUAAGUCUAAUUUAUGGUGAUAUGAACUUGUGGUGAAUAGUUGGAGUUCUGAUUGUAUAAUUUAUUUAGCUUGUGGAUUUAUAAAUGUUGUUCAUGUU
Musa acuminata AAA Group (dessert banana) is the source of this 2105-nucleotide long non-coding RNA. RefSeq lists it as uncharacterized. Lineage: Eukaryota; Viridiplantae; Streptophyta; Magnoliopsida; Zingiberales; Musaceae. The transcript is spliced from 2 exons. The record is from RefSeq and is a predicted model, not a curated record.